This is a long non-coding RNA of Salvia splendens (bonfire salvia), 1866 nucleotides long. RefSeq lists it as uncharacterized. The transcript is spliced from 3 exons. The record is from RefSeq and is a predicted model, not a curated record. NCBI's taxonomy places the organism in Eukaryota, Viridiplantae, Streptophyta, Magnoliopsida, Lamiales, Lamiaceae.
AAUUUUUCCUUUCAUUUCCCCAAUUAGAAAAUGAGGAACCCUAGACCCAUCGCCACCGCCACCGCCAUUUCUCCUUCCUCGGCGUCGAUCAUCGCUCGCCGGGCCGCCGGAGCGUCGCCGCUCCAGUGUUCGUCGCCAUCCGUCGCCGAUGCCUCCUAUCGGCGGAUGCCCCACCGUCGUCAUCUCUUGCAGCGGCGACUCCAAAAUGGAGGCGAAUGCAGUGGCGCUCCCUUAGUCGCCGCCUCUGCGACUCUCUCUCCCUUCUCUCGUCGACAUCACAGGCCCGGACGGCACCGUCGCCUCGGCAACCUCCACCGUUCGCCGGCUCGCCUUCACGACGCUAGGGACACUCCGGCAACAACAGCGCCGCGCGCUCCGUCCCCACCUCCGGAUCGUACCCAGCUUCGCUCAAUAUCGCAAUUGCGUCUCUCUGGCCUUGCUCCGGGACCGUCGUUGUUCAGCCGACACCUCCUCGGCGUAGCCGGUUCGUCGCUGGCAGCCCUGUCGCGCCAUGGCCGUCGCCGGUGGCUCCCGCGUCGUCUCUCUAUUGGUUAAUGCACGACGGCACAGCGCCACCGCCCUCAUCCCUUUCGCCGCAUUGUUGCUGCCCCGCACGGCUCGUCGACGUCUCCGUGACGGCACAACACCAUCUCCGUCAUUUAGCCGGUGCUAAGCCAGCUACGGUAUCAAUCUCCUCAGCAAGCCGGAGUCGCCGGAUUCCGCCUCUUCGUCGGGCCCCGCUGCCGGACGUUCACUCAUUAAGCUAAGCCCCUCUAUCUAGUUACUACUUAAAUCAUUUGUGUCAAAAAAAGGGCAGUAGCUAAAUUAAACUUCCAAGUUAGAAGUCUUGUAUGGUAGCUUGCUGGGGUGAAUUCUUGAUCAACUUAAGCUCUUACUGUUUUUGUUCAUGAGGCUAACUAGUAUUUCCCGUUGUUACAACAGUUCUGUAGGUGUAAAUUUCUCGGGUUCUAAACAAGGAGGUUUUAAGCUUGUUACCGUUGUUUAUGAGGGAUUGUUAAACUUCUUCUAAAGUAAAGGGAAAGGCUUAUGCAGAUUGUGAUUUACGUUUUCUUUUUAUUAACUCUUACAUGAUGCCAUGUGAAAGAUUGAAAAAGAAGUGGAGGUGAAGAUACCUCUUUAUGUAGUUACUGCCUCGAGUUCUUGUUCCUAAGACAACCAGCUUUCUAACUCUCUAAAUUUGCUGAAUUCUUGUGGUGUGUGGGAGGGGGAAGUUUGAUGCAUAUGCAGGGGAUUUUAUAGCCAAGAAUCGCGUACUUGUGCAGCAUUUAUUUGAGUUGUUGUAUGCUUUGUUUCUUCCUGCAGAAGGUCUCUCUUUUUGGUUACUUGCAGCCACUUUUUCUGAUAAUCCGGAUGGUGUACUAGGAAAAGGACCGUUGCAUUUAUGUUGUUUGUUAGUCUCAUGGGUCUGUACAAAAACAGGGGCCGGUUGGGCAGGGAAUGGCCACUCUAGUUUAGGAGUUAAUUAAAGGCCUUGUCUUUUCCUCAUGUAGUCCUCGGUUGAGGGGCUGGAAUGCAGGGUGUACCUGCCAUAUUGGGCAAGGGAAAAGAACCGAUCAUGUCCGGCUGCCACCAUGAUGUUCCGGGCCCAACGGGCCGUCGAAAGGUCAGGCCGAAAUCCGGCCUAAGUAAGAGGCCCGAAGUUGGCGUUCCUAACGUUGUAAUAGGGUAGUGCUUUUCCAAGCUUUCUUUUAUUUCAAACAUGUAUGAAACAUCUUAUAAAAGUUAGAAUGUAUUAUUUUUCCUUCUUUUUCAUUAUCAUACCUUUUGUAAGCUAAGACAUAGUUCGGAAAGUAACACGUCGUAUUUUAUUUACUUAAGGAAUAAACGGACACAUUUCCAUUUUUA